UAAUUCGACUAGGGGAGCAUGAAAAUGCUGAGAGAGAUAUGAUCGACCCUUUGAACCUGAUCUAGGUAACACUAGCGUAGGGAAGUGGAACUGGAACUGG
RNAcentral lists this non-coding RNA (100 nucleotides) under Schinkia azotoformans LMG 9581. RNAcentral's name for it is "Bacillus azotoformans LMG 9581 TPP riboswitch aptamer (THI element)". It matches the Rfam family "TPP riboswitch aptamer (THI element)". Rfam says of the family: Vitamin B(1) in its active form thiamin pyrophosphate (TPP) is an essential coenzyme that is synthesised by coupling of pyrimidine and thiazole moieties in bacteria. Lineage: Bacteria; Bacillati; Bacillota; Bacilli; Caryophanales; Bacillaceae. The record is from Rfam by way of RNAcentral.